Molecule: ribosomal RNA, 465 nt
Filed under: Vreelandella stevensii
Lineage: Bacteria; Pseudomonadati; Pseudomonadota; Gammaproteobacteria; Oceanospirillales; Halomonadaceae
Description: partial 16S ribosomal RNA
Rfam family: Bacterial small subunit ribosomal RNA
Source: RNAcentral
CCUACGGGUGGCUGCAGUGGGGAAUAUUGGACAAUGGGCGAAAGCCUGAUCCAGCCAUGCCGCGUGUGUGAAGAAGGCCUUCGGGUUGUAAAGCACUUUCAGUGGGGAAGAAAGCCUUGGGGCUAAUACCCUCGAGGAAGGACAUCACCCACAGAAGAAGCACCGGCUAACUCCGUGCCAGCAGCCGCGGUAAUACGGAGGGGGCGAGCGUUAAUCGGAAUUACUGGGCGUAAAGCGCGCGUAGGCGGUCUGAUAAGCCGGUUGUGAAAGCCCCGGGCUCAACCUGGGAACGGCAUCCGGAACUGCCAGGCUAGAGUGCAGGAGAGGAAGGUAGAAUUCCCGGUGUAGCGGUGAAAUGCGUAGAGAUCGGGAGGAAUACCAGUGGCGAAGGCGGUCUUCUGGACUGACACUGACGCUGAGGUGCGAAAGCGUGGGUAGCAAACAGGAUUAGAUACCCGAGUAGUC